AGUGACAAAAAAUAACGAUACGGGACUCAUCCGAGGCCCGUAUCGGAAUGAGUACACUAUAAAUUCUUUAACAAAAAUCUAUUGGAGGGCAAGUCUGGUGCCAGCAGCCGCGGUAAUUCCAGCUCCAAUAGCGUAUAUUAAAGUUGUUGCGGUUAAAAAGCUCGUAGUUGGUUCUGUGUGCCAUGCUGUUGGUUCACCGCCUGCCGGUGCAACUGACAUGUCGUGGGACGUCCUGUCGGUGGCAAUUAAAGGCCUAUUGUUUAGCAGAGGCUUGCUUCUACUAAACUUAGGUUACUUUAAUUGCCGAUUAAAUCCUGCCGCGGUGCUCUUUACUGAGUGUCGAGGUGGGCCGACACGUUUACUUUGAACAAAUUAGAGUGCUCAAAGCAGGCAAAAGUCUGCCUGAAUAGAAGUGCAUGGAAUAAUAGAAUAAGACCUUGGUUCUAUUUUGUUGGUUUUCUGAAUCCAAGGUAAUGAUCAAUAUGGACAGGCGGGGGCAUUCGUAUUGCGACGUUAGAGGUGAAAUUCUUGGAUCGUCGCAAGACGAACUAGAGCGAAAGCAUUUGCCAAGUAUGUCUUAAUUGAUCAAGAACGAAAGUUAGAGGUUCGAAGGCGAUCAGAUACCGCCCUAGUUCUAACCAUAAACGAUGUCAGCCAGCGAUCCGCCGAUGUUUUUUUCAUGACUCGACGGGCAGCUUCCGGGAAACCAAAGCUUUUGGGUUCCGGGGGAAGUAUGGUUGCAAAGCUGAAACUUAAAGGAAUUGAC
This 766-nucleotide ribosomal RNA is filed under the name Kokeshia sp. 1 AK-2015. Its description in RNAcentral is "SSU rRNA". It matches the Rfam family "Eukaryotic small subunit ribosomal RNA", at positions 466 to 1157 of the family's 1831-position model. The record is from RNAcentral. Lineage: Eukaryota; Metazoa; Arthropoda; Insecta; Hemiptera; Schizopteridae.